GGAGGCAUCUCCUUGGUUUGAAAGCUUCGGUGGAUACGGAUGAGCUCGCGAGACAUUAGUUAGUUGGCGGGGUAACGGCCCACCAAGACCGCGAUGUCUAGGGGAACUGAGAGGUUGGUCCCCCACACUGGAACUGAGACACGGUCCAGACUCCUACGGGAGGCAGCAGUGAGGAAUAUUGGACAAUGGUCGGAAGACUGAUCCAGCCAUGCCGCGUGAAGGAUAAGGUCCUAUGGAUUGUAAACUUCUUUUGAGUGGGAGCAAUAAGGGUAUCGUGAUACCCGAUGAGAGUACCAUUCGAAUAAGCAUCGGCUAACUCCGUGCCAGCAGCCGCGGUAAUACGGAGGAUGCGAGCGUUAUCCGGAUUUAUUGGGUUUAAAGGGUGCGUAGGCGGUUUUUCAAGUCAGCGGUGAAACGCAAGGGCUCAACCCUUGACCUGCCGUUGAAACUGUUGGACUAGAAUGCGGAUGCUGUGGGAGGAAUGUGUGGUGUAGCGGUGAAAUGCAUAGAUAUCACACAGAACACCGAUUGCGAAGGCAUCUCACAAAUCCGUGAUUGACGCUGAGGCACGAAAGUGUGG
Molecule: ribosomal RNA, 580 nt
Filed under: uncultured rumen bacterium
Lineage: Bacteria
Description: bacterial SSU rRNA
Rfam family: Bacterial small subunit ribosomal RNA
Source: RNAcentral